UACGGAGGGUGCAAGCGUUAUCCGGAUUUACUGGGUUUAAAGGGUGCGUAGGUGGGUUGGUAAGUCAGCGGUGAAAUCUUCGAGCUUAACUCGGAAACUGCCAUUGAUACUAUCAGCCUUGAAUAUCCUGGAGGUGAGCGGAAUAUGUCAUGUAGCGGUGAAAUGCUUAGAUAUGACAUAGAACACCAAUUGCGAAGGCAGCUCACUACGGGAUUAUUGACACUGAGGCACGAAAGCGUGGGGAUCAAACAGG
RNAcentral lists this ribosomal RNA (253 nucleotides) under uncultured bacterium. RNAcentral's name for it is "partial 16S ribosomal RNA". It matches the Rfam family "Bacterial small subunit ribosomal RNA", at positions 524 to 776 of the family's 1533-position model. The record is from RNAcentral.